RNAcentral lists this long non-coding RNA (2931 nucleotides) under Homo sapiens (human). RNAcentral describes it as "PREDICTED lncRNA (TCONS_00078673)". Lineage: Eukaryota; Metazoa; Chordata; Mammalia; Primates; Hominidae. The record is from RNAcentral.
UGAAGGGCUCCUCAAGCGCGGCCAGAGUGGGCGCCAAGGCCGAGGAGGCGCCGAGAGCGAGUGAGGGCUGCUAGGGCCGCCAGCAUGCUGUCACCUCUCAUAAUGGGUUUCUGGACAGUGUUGUUAACAAUUCAUGGCGUGUGUUUCUGUGUCGGAGGCAGGAGGGAGCUGAAAAGAUGCAGUUUUAUCUCCAAAGGAAAGACGAGGUUUUGCCAUGUUGCCCAAGCUGAUCUCGAACUUCUUGGCUCAAGUGAUCUGCCUGCCUUCCAAAGUGCUGGGAUUACAGGCAUGAGCCACCAAGCGCAGCCAUGAUUUAUUAGAUCACUUCUAAAAGCCCUCUCUCCAUCUCCAAGCCAGCAAGUGCUUCUUUGCACCCCAGCUCUAAAACAAAGCCCUUGGGGACACAAUCAAAGACAGUAGUUGCCAAGAGGAAUAGGGAGCAUGGAAAGAAGGUGCUGGAUGUGCAUACAGCUAACCUGGUAACUCCAAACUGGAUGAGCUCAUUCCUUGAGACUGGAAUUACAAAAUUGGAACAGCUCACUAAUAAUUGAAGAUGAUUUGGGAAAACCAUUAUCCUUCCUCAGGUUUUACAAGGUUUUUAUGACUCAUUUAUAAGGUCCUACAGCUAAAAAAAAUCAUGCUGUAUUUCAGAGAAGUUUAACUUGAAAAUAUUUUUUUCACUAAUUAAAAAUUCCCAUUAUACCUUAUAGUUGCAAUUGUAUCCUUAUUGCUGAAAGAUAUCCAUACUACCUACCACUUCUUUAAAAUUUAAAAAAUUCUAUAAAUAAAAAAUAUAACAAUUGCAAAUAUGUAAAUAACUUCCAACAUAAAACAAAAUUUAUAGUAAUUAUAAGAAGUUCUUUUAUACUAAAAAUUAAGUUGUAAUUAUGAUAGAAAUAAUCUGUAAAAGGUAUUUUUAGCAAAAUUUAUUAAUACGGGUAGCAAUAAUAAUACCCAAUUAUAUAUGCAUAUUGUUUGUAUUUUAGAACCUGUGACAAAUGAAAAUGGUUUUCCUAGAUAAGAACGAAACUGUGUUGGGUGGCUAACAAGAUUGAAACUCAUCUGACUUUGAGAAAUAAAUCAAUUUGGUUUGUUUAUUUACAAUCGUUAUUUUUCCUUUUACCAAUACCUAAGUUAUUUCACUGUAAAACUUUCAUAGAAGAAUUUCAGGAAAGGCUUGUAUUUACGUGUUAUAGAUGAGGUACACCACAGUGAUUUAGAUCAGCAGUCCCCAACCGUUUUGGCACCAGGGACCAGUUUCAUGGAAGACAAUUUUUCCACAGAUCAGGGGUGGGCAGAGUUUGGGGGAAUGGUUUCUGGAUGAUUCAAGCGGAUUACAUUUGUUGUGCACCAUAUUUCUAUUAUUAUUAUUGCAUUGUAAUAUGUAACAAAAUAGUUAUACAACUCCAUAAUGUAGACUCAGUGGGAGCCCUGAGCUUGUUUUCCUGCAACUAGACGGUCCCAUCUGAGGGUGAUGGGAGACAGUGACACCAAAGUGUGCUGCUUAUGUCCAGUCUACUUCGUAAUCUCAUUUUGAUUGCUGUCACUGCAGAAAACCCUGUAACAUUCUCAAAAUUCUAUUCUCUCUAGGGUAAAAUUAAACUGCGGGACAUAGCGCAGAAGACUUGUCACAAUUUAGGACCAACCUACCAAGACUUCUUGAUCUCUUUCCACUUCUUGCCCCUCACUGUGUUUGAUUUCUGCCUUCCAGUCUGAACUUCUCACUAUAUUCCAGAAAAGGCCUGUUAAAGAGAUCUGGUAGUCAAAAGCAACCUCUUUUUUGCUUGUGCUCUCUGUUAUACAUAAGAAACCAGUCCUGCUGCAGCUCCAUAUUUGCAUUACUAAUUUAAUCAGUUAGCGGGACACAUGCUCUUUAUAACCCAAAAAAUUGAAGCAUGAAAUUUGGGAGUCAUACCCAUCACCCAAAUGUGGCAUAACAAUGUUCUUCUUCCCCGCAAAGCAGUGUCCUUCCCCAAAGAAAUUCUGGGGAUUGGCAUUUUCUUCAUCCACUCCUUUCAUUAUUUCCUUUACCUAUUUCUCUGAGUCUAUUAGCAUCCUUGGAGGGGGGAAUGUAUCUUAUUUAUUGUUAUAUCUCCCAGGCUCACACAUCACUCAAUAAAGGUUUGUUGAAUGAAACAAUAAAUGGAUGCAAGACUAAAUGAACAAAGAAAAGCCACGGGGAAGAUAACAAUGUUAUGUCAUAAUUCAGGAUCAUCUUUUUCUGUUUUUUCCCCUCCAGCUUUAUUGAGGUAUAAUUGACAAAUAAAAAUUAUAUAUAUUCAAGGUGUCCAACAAGAUGUUUUGAUAUACAUAUACAUUGUGAAAUGAUUACCACAAUCAAACUAAUUAGCAUGUCCAUUACCUCACAUAAUUACCUUUUUUAUGUGUGCUGAGAAUACUUAAGAUUUGCUUUCUUAGCAAAUUUUAAGUAUACAAUACAUUAUGAUUAACUAUAGUCAUCAUACUUUACAGUAAGUCUCCAGAACUUACUUCAUCUGCAGGUUUGUACUCUGACCAACAUCAUCUUAUUUCACUCCCCACCCCACUUUCAGCACUGGUAACCACAUUUCUAUUCUAAGCCUUCUGGUGAAAUUUCUUUCUUAUUUCACUCCCAGUGAGUAACACAAGAGAAAAAUAAACAACAAAAGCCAGUCAAUAAUUAUAAAGUGAAUCUUACCAGUAUAGAGUUAUAAGCCUUGUUUUUACUUCACUGAUAAUGUUGUCGUGAACACUGUUUGAAUAAUGAAGACUAAAGGAAUGAUGGCAUGCACUGUGAGUUCUUGAUGUGGUUGAAGCAAAAUUCCCAACAAACAGACAUUUUGCUAUUUCAUUAGUGUUUAUGGCUGAUAAAUACCUUGUAUGUUUGCUAUACUAUUGUGUUAGUAACAUAAUUUUAUUUUUAUGUAACACUAACAAUAAAUAGAUAAAAGC